Molecule: ribosomal RNA, 460 nt
Filed under: uncultured bacterium
Lineage: Bacteria
Description: partial 16S ribosomal RNA
Rfam family: Bacterial small subunit ribosomal RNA
Source: RNAcentral
CCUACGGGGGGCAGCAGUGAGGAAUAUUGGUCAAUGGACGAGAGUCUGAACCAGCCAAGUAGCGUGAAGGAUGACUGCCCCAUGGGUUGUAAACUUCUUUUAUAUGGGAAUAAAAUGUUCCACGUGUGGGAUUUUGUAUGUACCAUAUGAAUAAGGAUCGGCUAACUCCGUGCCAGCAGCCGCGGUAAUACGGAGGAUCCGAGCGUUAUCCGGAUUUAUUGGGUUUAAAGGGAGCGUAGGUGGAUUGUUAAGUCAGUUGUGAAAGUUUGCGGCUCAACCGUAAAAUUGCAGUUGAAACUGGCAGUCUUGAGUACAGUAGAGGUGGGCGGAAUUCGUGGUGUAGCGGUGAAAUGCUUAGAUAUCACGAAGAACUCCGAUUGCGAAGGCAGUUCACUGGACUGCAACUGACACUGAGGCUCGAAAGUGUGGGUAUCAAACAGGAUUAGAUACCCCAGUAGUC